CCUACGGGAGGCAGCAGUGAGGAAUAUUGGUCAAUGGGAGAGAUCCUGAACCAGCCAAGCCGCGUGAGGGAAGACGGCCCUAUGGGUUGUAAACCUCUUUUGUCGGAGAACAAAACCCGGGACGUGUCCCGGACUGCGUGUAUCCGAAGAAAAGCAUCGGCUAACUCCGUGCCAGCAGCCGCGGUAAUACGUAGGGGGCGAGCGUUAUCCGGAUUUACUGGGUGUAAAGGGAGCGUAGACGGUUCUGCAAGUCUGAAGUGAAAGCCCGUGGCUUAACCGCGGAACGGCUUUGGAAACUGUGGAAC
This 305-nucleotide ribosomal RNA is filed under the name uncultured bacterium. Its description in RNAcentral is "bacterial SSU rRNA". It matches the Rfam family "Bacterial small subunit ribosomal RNA", at positions 338 to 641 of the family's 1533-position model. The record is from RNAcentral.